RNAcentral lists this ribosomal RNA (480 nucleotides) under Triticum aestivum (bread wheat). Its description in RNAcentral is "partial small subunit ribosomal RNA". Lineage: Eukaryota; Viridiplantae; Streptophyta; Magnoliopsida; Poales; Poaceae. The record is from RNAcentral.
AUGUCGCUGGUCGCCUACGACGCCUCCUCCGACGAGGACGAAGCCGGCGACCCUCCCGCCGCCGCCCCGGCCCCGCCCCCCCGCCCCGCCCCCACCAUCGGGCCGCAGCCGAGGCCUCCGUCGCCCUCGCCGUCCGCGCGCGCCGAGCUCCGCCCCCCCGCGCCGCCGCCCGCCCCCAGCCAGAAUGUCUCCCUGCCCACACCAUCAUUUGACCUACCAGACAUUGCAGAUCUUUUUGAUUCCCCCUCUCUCCCCAACAGAGGUUCUGCUGGUAUGGUGGGAAGUUCAUCAAGGAAAAGAGAAUCAAAUGGAUCAGCUAUUCAAGAUCCCCGUAGUAAAUUCCCAAGGGCCCAGUCAGCUCAAUCUCGUGGUGCCAGGAAUGCUGCUGCGAGCACAUUAGUUCCGCCGCAGCUUAGUGGAAGGAGUAACGUUGUUACUGAAGAUAUGGGCAAACUAUUUGUGGCAAGACGCAAAGAUUAG